RNAcentral lists this unclassified non-coding RNA (231 nucleotides) under Melitaea cinxia (Glanville fritillary). RNAcentral describes it as "misc RNA ENSMCXG00005004224.1". The record is from RNAcentral. Lineage: Eukaryota; Metazoa; Arthropoda; Insecta; Lepidoptera; Nymphalidae.
ACAAAAAAAGAACAAACGCCACGUCGAAAAAGUUCUGCCACACAAAUUUUGGAAUCUUCGACACAGCCGUUCAGAACUAAACAAGCACAACAAGAGCUGGACAAAAACUUAGCUGUAUGGGACUCUACCGUAAAAAGUAUAAAAGACAGUUCUAAGUUGGAACAAUUGGAAUUGACAUAUAAAGAUGGUACAAUAAAGAGGAUGUGGAAAAUAAAUCGACCAAAAUCAGAC